Long non-coding RNA from Camelus dromedarius (Arabian camel), 2485 nucleotides. RefSeq lists it as uncharacterized. Lineage: Eukaryota; Metazoa; Chordata; Mammalia; Artiodactyla; Camelidae. The transcript is spliced from 4 exons. The record is from RefSeq and is a predicted model, not a curated record.
CCCGCUCAGCCUCCUGGAAACGCUGCCGGUGCCGGCGAGCCUGCGAGGUGUCUGGGAGUUGGGCGAAAGCUGCUGACUUGGAGGCUCUUAUACCUCCGUGCAGGCGGAAAGUUUGGGGGCAGCAGUGUCAUUGGCCUGACGUGGGGAGGAGGGACUUUUAGAAGUUUUAUAGGAAAGUUUCCGCUUUCCAGCCCCCCUUCUCCGUCCCCACCCCCCUUACUCGGGGUCUAACAAUUCGUCUUCCCAAACCAUUCAAAAAGGACCUGGACCAGGCGGCCAGCCCCUCUGCCCGCCUCUUUGCUGCCCUCCCCCUUCCCUCCCCGCCGCCCUCCGCUCGCGGGCGCGGGGCGAUUUCCUUCCGCGCUGGAGCGCGCGGGCCGCGCCCCCGCACCCGAGCGCAGCCGGGGGAAGUGGCCGGAGGGGACCGUCUCCACUGCGGUGUGGGUGCCUCUCGGAGUGGCUGUGACAGCAGCGGAGGCAACAGCUUCUACGCAUUUUUGGAUGACAUACCACCUGUCUGCUGGCUUAGAGUUCUGCGAAAUAAUUUCUCUGGAUUGCAUGAAUGAAGCACAGGACCAUUCACACAGAAGAGGGCGCAGAUUGGAAAACGCUGCAAGUUGCUGGAAUAACUGAAGAAAUAAUGUAAGAAAUACACAGUUAUUCAUAGAGGCUCUUCUUGUGGCCACAAUCUUCUUACACAAAACAUUCCUAAUCACAUUCUCUGAGACCCUGCUGGAGGGAGUGAGCAAUGGACCAAAAGACCUGGAAAUGAAGAAGAGAAAAAGAUAAGAGACAAGGAACAGAGUAAAAAUAAGGACAUCAAGAGAGACAGAGCAGAGUGUGAAGAGGGAGGGUGAAAGAGGUAGCUGGAACAAGUGAACAAGAAAAAGAGAGAAUGUAUGUAUGUAGGGAGAAUAAAAGGAUUAAAUGACAAGAGAAAGAAAGAUACUAAUGCACCUAGUGGGAAAUAGAAAAGCACCAGGAUUAUUUGCCUCAUAUUUUCUGCUCAGAGAUUGUUUCAAGUAGUUGUCUGUCCCUUGGUGUAGGCAUUCAGUUUUAAAAAUCCUUGUCAUUCUCAGCCAAGUAUAACAAAAAAUAAAGAACAGGGUGGAGAGCCAUGAAACUUUUAAUUAAGGUUGACAUUCAUCUAAUAGAUAUGCUGUAUUUAGAAUUACAGUGAAGAUGGUAACAUAUUGUGGUCACUGGAUCUCAAGAUGGCGGCAGGAGGAUGUUUGGGGGAAUACGGAUGCUGUUAUUGCGAACCAUGAUGGAUGUUCAGAAAUCUGUGGUUGCUAAGGCUCCAGGCUCAUUAGUUAUCUUCCGUUUCCUCUACCAUGAAUAUCAAACUGGGUGCUUUUCCCUGUGGUUAGCCAGUAUCAAUGCCUUUGGCCUCCCACCUCAAAUACCUCAGGGAAAGACAUAGCUAUAAGUGAUGAGUCAUCCUCACUGAAGACCUUGAGAAAUUGUAAGGUUAUGGCUCUGAUUAUGGUCCAUUCAGGAGACCUGAAUUCUGGUUUCACCUGGCCCUAAUUAAUUGCAACACAUUUAUUGAUUCUUUUGUAAUUUAACAAAAAUGCAUCAAAGUCUCAAUUUUAGGUGCUCUGAAUAAGAAGAUUUUGUCUCUGACAUCAAGGAUAUCACAGUCUAAAGAGAAAUAAAACAGGAAAACAAUUUUGUAAGAAAAUGCUAACAGAGGCAAAUGCUGUAAUAGAUAUUUUCAAGGAGUGCCAAAGAAGGACACUGGACCUGAUCUGAGGUAACAGAAUGCCUUUGUGCAUUGGGAAAUUGCCUCACUGCAAUGGUAGCCUCCAAAUAAACUCCCAGGAAGCCUGUCCCAGAGAGAAACAUACAGAAAGGUCCACAGACCAAAUUAAGAUGCACAUGUCACAUGGCUUAUUGAGUCAAUUUGAAACAUAAAGUAAGAAAGAGAAAUAGAUGGAGUAGGUUAAUAUACUAUGAUAGGUUGCAAACAGGCAGGAAGGACCAUGCUACCCAGAUCCUGGGGUACACAGAUAUACAGUGUUAACAUGUUUUGUUUCUCUCUCUCUCUCUCUCCCUCCCCAGCACCCUUCCUUGCUGAUGGUGUGGUUAAGAGGUCCAAAGUUAAGGGUGAGCAAUGAUGGAGGGGACUAGGUCACUGGAGCUAAAUACAUUUGCUCUAUUAGAGAGGCACAGGACAGAUACUUUCUUUCAUAGCUGAGGCUUGAUACUUACCUGCUGAGCAGCUAUGGAUUUUCUCUGUCUUGGCCAGAGAACAGGUACGCCAGAUUGGAUGUGACCAAAGGCAGCAUAUUUAAAACCUCAUAGAUAUGGGUGCCUCAUGAAUAUGGGAUUCCCUGAGAGCUUCAUGACACUUUGAUGCUUACAUAGUCUUUCUGUCCCUUAAGAAGAAGAAAUCUCUCUGGUUACUUAUUUCCAAACUUAAUAUCAUCAAUUCUCCUUGUUUCUUUUACUCAUUUUUGGCACAAAAGUUUAGACCCUCAGU